This is a long non-coding RNA of Pseudopipra pipra, 1278 nucleotides long. RefSeq lists it as uncharacterized. The record is from RefSeq and is a predicted model, not a curated record. The transcript is spliced from 2 exons. NCBI's taxonomy places the organism in Eukaryota, Metazoa, Chordata, Aves, Passeriformes, Pipridae.
CUUUCAGUGGCCUCCAGGUGUUCAGGCCCCUCCUGGUACGGAUCCUCCGACACCUAAUCCUGCAGGUAAGUGCAACCUCCCGUCCCCCAGCUCUGCUCCUCUCCCCGGCCCUGCUUCAAGGGCAUCACUAACUCCAGAAAAUUCACUCCAGGGGCACAACUCCAUAGAAGUGGGACAGAUGCCAAGGCUGCUCACACCCUUUUCCAGGAGAAAGAAAAAUGACAGGAUGCUCAGAGACUUUUUUUUUUUUCCCCACUGAGCAGAGCAGUUCUAGUUUACAUCUUUGCUACAAGGAUCAAAAUUUUAUUGUAUUGUUAUUAUUCCAGUGAGUCUCCCUGCACGUGUUUCCAUGUUCUUUUUCCCUGGGGUCUAAAUCGUGUUUUUCCGUAUUAUAAACCAGAGUUCAUACAUGACUACAAUUAGAAUUUUAAGGCAGAAAACAAGGGCAUUUCUAGGCUAUAGAAAUGCUCAUGGCAUCCUGAUUAUCUGGUUAAGUAGUAAGAAAAUAGGAUUACGUUGGUUAUAUUGAGCAGAACAAAGUGUGAACCGAACAUCUUUAGUAAAAGAAAUAAAUAAGAGAGCAGAAAAUUGGGACUAUGUUAGGAAAAACUGAGAAACCCGAGGCUAUGCCUAAGACUGUAAAAUGCUGCAUUUUAUUUGCAUGAAGCUUCUGAAAGAUUCAUGUCUCCCUAGGGGCUCAUCCACUGGGAAAGCACGAAUUUCCAGAAGCCUUGUGAAGUAGUGGGGCUGUCGGAAGAGUUUUGCUGCACAUGCUGCAAAUCCUGCUCUGCCCGGGCAGCAAACGCUGCUGAAGGGCUGUUUGGGUGCUCGGAGCUCCCCAGGAGAGGGGCAGAAAGUUCCUGCUGGCCCUGGGCUGAGAUCUGUCAUGUGCUCUUGUGCUCCCAGCUCAGAGGCCUCUCCAGAACCCAAUUCCAGAGAAGUUAAAGGACUGCCCUCCCAGAUCACACCCAAAAUACGUCACCAUGUGGAGCUGGUGUGUGCAGGUAUGGGCACCAACCUUUCCCUGGAGGGGUGUGGGAUCCAGCAACGCUCUGCAAGAGACAGUAACGGCCCAGGUACCACUGGAGGAGGAGGAGGAGAAGGAGAAGAAGAAGAAGGAGGAGGAGGAAGAGGUGGCAUCAUGCUGGGCCAUCGUGUCACAAAGUGCCACUGUGGGCAAGUGACUGGGAGCUGCUGCACAGCACAGGUGGGAGCACACACAGCACUCGUGGCUUCACUUUUCAAUAUAAGACAUGCAAGAGGCUUUAAGGAGCCAAA